AGUGAACGCUGGCGGUAGGCCUAACACAUGCAAGUCGAACGGCAGCACAGUAAGAGCUUGCUCUUACGGGUGGCGAGUGGCGGACGGGUGAGGAAUACAUCGGAAUCUACUUUUUCGUGGGGGAUAACGUAGGGAAACUUACGCUAAUACCGCAUACGACCUACGGGUGAAAGCAGGGGAUCUUCGGACCUUGCGCGAUUGAAUGAGCCGAUGUCGGAUUAGCUAGUUGGCGGGGUAAAGGCCCACCAAGGCGACGAUCCGUAGCUGGUCUGAGAGGAUUAUCAGCCACACUGGAACUGAGACACGGUCCAGACUCCUACGGGAGGCAGCAGUGGGGAAUAUUGGACAAUGGGCGCAAGCCUGAUUCAGCCAUACCGCGUGGGUGAAGAAGGCCUUCGGGUUGUAAAGCCCUUUUGUUGGGAAAGAAAAGCAGCAGGUUAAUACCCCGCUGUUCUGACGGUACCCAAAGAAUAAGCACCGGCUAACUUCGUG
RNAcentral lists this ribosomal RNA (492 nucleotides) under uncultured bacterium. RNAcentral describes it as "partial 16S ribosomal RNA". It matches the Rfam family "Bacterial small subunit ribosomal RNA", at positions 29 to 507 of the family's 1533-position model. The record is from RNAcentral.